Molecule: transfer RNA, 72 nt
Filed under: Penaeus chinensis
Lineage: Eukaryota; Metazoa; Arthropoda; Malacostraca; Decapoda; Penaeidae
Description: tRNA-Gln
Rfam family: tRNA
About the family: Transfer RNA (tRNA) molecules are approximately 80 nucleotides in length. Their secondary structure includes four short double-helical elements and three loops (D, anti-codon, and T loops).
Source: RNAcentral
GGUCCCAUGGUGUAAUGGUUAGCACCCUGGACUCUGAAUCCAGAGAUCCGAGUUCGAGUCUCGGUGGGACCU